CCUACGGGAGACAGCAGUGAGGAAUAUUGGUCAAUGGACGCAAGUCUGAACCAGCCAUGCCGCGUGCAGGAAGACGGCUCUAUGAGUUGUAAACUGCUUUUGUACGAGGGUAAACGCAGAUACGCGUAUCUGUCUGAAAGUAUCGUACGAAUAAGGAUCGGCUAACUACGUGCCAGCCGCCGCGGUAAUGCGGAGGAUUCAAGCGUUGUCCGGAUUUAUUGGGUUUAAAGGGUGCGUAGGCGGUCGGAUAAGUUAGAUGUGAAAUCCCGCGGCUCAACUUCGGAAGUGCCUUGGAUACUGUGCGGCUAGAGAGUAGAAGCGGUAGGCGGAAUGUAUGGUGUAGCGGUGAAAUGCUUAGAGAUCAGACGGAACACCGAUUGCGAAGGCAGCUUACCGGUCUACUUCGGACGUUGAGGCACGAAAGCGUGGGGAGCAAACAGGAUUAGAUACCCGAGUAGUC
This 460-nucleotide ribosomal RNA is filed under the name uncultured bacterium. RNAcentral describes it as "partial 16S ribosomal RNA". It matches the Rfam family "Bacterial small subunit ribosomal RNA", at positions 338 to 795 of the family's 1533-position model. The record is from RNAcentral.